Molecule: RNA transcript, 3046 nt
Organism: Balaenoptera acutorostrata (minke whale)
Lineage: Eukaryota; Metazoa; Chordata; Mammalia; Artiodactyla; Balaenopteridae
Gene: GSS
Gene name: glutathione synthetase
Exons: 15
Source: RefSeq, a predicted model, not a curated record
GCCCCCUGAAGCUCCGGUAAAGGCGCGAGGGGGCCUGAGUACGGAGAGCGGCAGGACGACGAACGAGUAGGUUGGGGCACUGCAACGGCGGCCGCUCUCUUCCUGGGACCACUGAGCUGGGCAGCCAUGUUCUAAUGACUGGUGUUUCCAGAUUUUUAUCCAGAUUUUCUUACACCCCUGGAGCCUGCUGCAAAAUCAGUCAGGAUGGCCACCGGCUGGGGGAGCCUCUUGCAGGAUGAACAGCAGCUGGAGGAGCUAACAAGGCAGGCUGUAGACCGGGCCCUGGCAGAGGGAGUGUUGCUGAGGACCUCACAAGAGCCCAGCUCCUCAGAUGUGGUGAGCUAUGCCCCAUUCACACUCUUCCCCUCACUGGUCACGAGUGCCCUGCUGGAGCAGGCCUAUGCUGUGCAAAUGGACUUCAACCUGCUGGUGGAUGCUGUCAGCCAGAACGCUGCCUUUCUGGAGCAAACUCUCUCCAGCACCAUCAAAAGGGACAACUUUACUGCUCAUCUCUUUGACAUCCACAAGCAAGUCCUGAAAGAGGGCGUUGCCCAGACGGUGUUCCUGGGCCUGAAUCGCUCAGACUACAUGUUCCAGCGCAACGCAGAUGGCUCUGCAGCCCUGAAACAGAUUGAAAUCAACACCAUCUCUGCCAGCUUUGGGGGCCUAGCCUCCCGGACCCCUGCUGUGCAUCGACAUGUUCUCAAUGUCCUGGGUAAGACCAAAGAAGCUGCCAAGAUCCUCUCCAAUAAUCCCAGCAAGGGAUUGGCCAUGGGGAUUGCCAAAGCCUGGGAACUCUACGGAUCAGCCAACGCUCGGGUGCUACUGAUUGCUCAAGAGAAGGAAAGGAAUAUAUUCGACCAGCGUGCUAUAGAGAAUGAGCUACUAGCCAGGAAUAUCCAUGUAAUCCGGCGAAAGUUUGAAGAUGUCUCUGAAAAGGGGUCUCUAGACCAGGACCGAAGACUGUUUAUGGACGGCCAGGAAGUUGCUGUGGUUUACUUCCGGGAUGGCUACAUGCCAAGUCAUUACAGUCUACAGAACUGGGAAGCACGGCUGCUGCUGGAGAGGUCAUGUGCUGUCAAGUGCCCGGACGUUGCCACGCAGCUGGCUGGGACUAAGAAGGUGCAACAGGAGCUGAGCAGAUCAGGCAUGCUGGAGGUGUUGCUCCCCGGCCAGCCUGAGGCCGUGGCCCGCCUCCGUGCCACCUUUGCUGGCCUCUACUCACUGGACAUGGGUGAAGAAGGGGACCAGGCUAUCACUGAGGCCAUUGCUGCCCCUAACUGCUUCGUGCUAAAGCCCCAGAGAGAGGGUGGAGGUAACAACCUAUAUGGGGAGGAGAUGGUACAGGCCCUGGAGCGGCUGAAGGACAGUGAGGAGAGAGCCUCCUAUAUCCUCAUGGAGAAGAUAGAACCUGAACCUUUUGAGAAUUGUCUACUGCGACCUGGCAGCCCUGCCCGAGUGGCCCAAUGCAUUUCAGAGCUGGGCAUCUUCGGGGUCUAUGUCAGGAAGACAAUUACAGCUUUGUCAAACCUUAGGAGAAAUAGCCUGAAUGCCAUUCCUGAGAAGUAGGACAAAGUACAGGCUUUGGAGAUAGACAAUCCAGGCUUGGAAUCCCCGCUCUGCCACUUACUAGCUGUGUGACCCCAGGCAUGUAUUAAGGAGAACUUAUAUCAUGGAUGUGAUUCUUCCUGAAAGUGAUGUCAGCACUGCACUGGUGUUACUCAAGUGUGGUCUCCAGAUGACUUGUACCCAAGUCACCUAGGGAACUUGUUAAAAUGUAGAUUCCUGAGCCCAAACUUAGAAUCACAAUCACAACGUCCAAGAAUCUGCUUCUUUACUACAAGCUGGUAUAAAUAAUCAGUAGGUUAUAUAUAAAAUAGAUAACUAAUAAGGACCUAAUGUAUAGCACAGGGAACUCUACUCAGUACUCUGUAAUGGCCUACAUGGGAAAAGAAUCUAAAAAAGAGUGGAUAUAUGUAUAUGUAUAACAGAUUCACUUUGCUGUACACCUGAAACUAACACAACAUUGUAAAUCAACUAUACUCCAAUAAGAAUUAAAAAAAAAAAGAAUCAGUAGGUAAUUCUGAUGCACAUUUAAAGUUAAGAAUCACUACCCUCUAUCAGCUGAUUUCUACCUCCUCAGCCUUGCCUCCUACUCCUGUCUAGGCUUCAGCCUGGUUUCUUUCAGUCAUUCUUUCAUUUAUUCAUUUGCUUAUUCAACUCCUAUGUGCUAUAUAUAUGUAUAGAAAUAAGGCACUGAGGAACAAGAUAAGCAAGAUCCCUGACAACAUGGAGCUUAUAUUCCAAUGAUAGUGCAGGAAAUACACAAGUAAAAAAUAUAACCAAGAUAAUUUCAGAUUAUAAGCAUUAUGAAGGAUAUAAAGAAUGACAUAAUAAUGACUGAGAAAUAAUUUUCAAAAAGACAUCUUAAGGAACUUUCAGACUGUAUGCAAAGAUUUAACUAUAAGAAUAUUCCCCUCAGUAUUAUUUUUCAAUUUUAUGAUUUUCAAAUAAGUAAUACAUACAAAUGGUACUGCAUAAAAAGAUAUGUAAUGAGAAGUGUCCCUCCCACCCCUAUCCUCCAAUCACCCUGCCUCCUGGCAACCACUGUAACUACUAUGUUGUGUAACUUUCCAGAAAUAGUCAGUAUGCAGACAGGGCCACUCCUAGUAAGAUGAAGGGUAUAGGGCAACUGAACUAGUGAGGAGUAACCAAGAAAUCACUUUGCUAGAAGGCUAUCUUUCAUAAGGUCCUUGGGAUAUCGUUGAAGAUGGAAAUUUUAAAAAUGAAUUUAAAAAACUGAAUUUUAAUGCUGUUCAGAAGAGAAAUAAGUACUCACAGUCCCCAACCAAGCACAGAAUGGGGAGGUGGGAAAGAGCUGCUUCAACGAUAGGACAGGCCUAUUAGACAAGCAUAUAUACAUGCAUUUAUGUUUAUGUAUUCUCUUUUUUUUCUAUACAAAUGAUGGCAUACAAUACACACUACUCUGUAUCUUGUUUUUUAUUAAAUAUAAUACACAUCCAAUAAACUGCACAAAUCUUAAGUA